AUGGCAUCUCUUGAGCUCGACUCUACCCUAGUCCUCUGCCUCCUUUUCGUGGUAUCUUGCUUCACCAUCGUCCUCAGAGGCUUCGGAUAUGGCCGAAAGGGCACGCAGCCGCCUUCGCCGCCUGGGUUGCCCAUCAUCGGCAACCUGCACCAGCUCGGGCGGGGCCGUCCUCACCGGACUCUGGAGGCUCUUGCGCGGCGCCACGGCCCGCUCCUCCUCCUCCGCCUCGGCUCCGUGCGGGCCAUCGUGGUCUCCUCGGCCUCGCUCGCCGAGGCGGUGCUGAGGACCCAGGACAACGUCUUCUGCAGCCGCCCGCAGCAGUACACGGCCCGCGGCACGCUCUACGGCUGCCGGGACGUCGGCUUCAGCGCCUACAACGAGCGGUGGCGCCAGCUCCGCCGCAUCGCCGUGGUGCACCUCCUCAGCAUGAAGCGGGUCGACUCCUUCCGCGCUCUCCGGGAGGAGGAGGUCGCGCGCUUCGUGGGACGGGUCCGCGCGGCGAGUGGGAGUGGCGCGCACGAGGGGCGUCGGGGAAUCAACGUGACGGAGCUCAUCAUCACCUUAACCUACACCGUGAUCUCCAGGGCUGCGUUCGGGAACAAGCUUGGUGGGGUGGAGCCGGUCAAGGUCCGCGACAUGAUGAAGGAGCUCACUGACCUGCUCGGCACGAUAGCCGUGAGCGACGUUUUUCCGAGACUAGGGUGGCUGGUGGACUGGGCGACGGGGCUCCAAGCGAGGGUGAAGAGGACGGCGGCCGAGCUCGACAGUAUAAUGGAGAGGACGAUCACGGAGCACGAGGGGGACCCAGGAAAGGACGACGGCGAGGCUCCGGACCUCCUGGACGACUUGCUCUUGAUCGCCAAGGAUGGUGACCAGGGGUUUAAGCUGGAUCGGAUCGAUGUGAAGGGAGUCAUCUUGGACAUGUUCAUAGCAGGCACCGACACGACCUACAAGACGAUAGAAUGGACCUUGGCCGAGCUCAUGAAGAAUCCAAGAGAAAUGGCAAAGGUGCAAUCAGAGGUGAGACAGGUUGCUGCAGGCGCGCAUGGAGGAGUCCUCGAGGAGGAGCUGGAAAAGAUGAACCUCCUACAGGCGGCCAUGAAGGAAACAUUGCGGUUACACCCGCCGGUGCCGCUCCUCAUCCCACGCGAAUCCAUUCAGGAUGCACAGCUACACGGCUAUGACAUCCCGGCCAAGACCCGGGUCAUGGUCAACACGUGGGCCAUAGGGAGGGACGGCGAGUCGUGGGAGAACGCCGAAGAGUUCCGGCCAGAAAGGUUCCUCGGCAGGACCAUCGACUACAAUGGCAAGGACCCUCGGUUCCUACCGUUCGGCGCGGGAAGGAGGGGGUGCCCCGGUAUUGCCUUUGGGACACGCCUCGCAGAGCUCACGCUGGCUAACAUGAUGUACCAUUUCGACUGGGAGCUACCGGAUGGCGAGGAUCCCGAGUCAUUUGAGGUUGUUGAGUCCAGUGGCUUGUCGCCUGGCCUUAAGUCUGCCUUGAUCCUUGGUAUAAAACCUCUGUAA
This 1527-nucleotide ribosomal RNA is filed under the name Triticum aestivum (bread wheat). Its description in RNAcentral is "partial small subunit ribosomal RNA". The record is from RNAcentral. Lineage: Eukaryota; Viridiplantae; Streptophyta; Magnoliopsida; Poales; Poaceae.